RNAcentral lists this ribosomal RNA (403 nucleotides) under uncultured bacterium. Its description in RNAcentral is "partial 16S ribosomal RNA". It matches the Rfam family "Bacterial small subunit ribosomal RNA", at positions 30 to 526 of the family's 1533-position model. The record is from RNAcentral.
AUUGAACGCUGGCGGCCGGCCUAACACAUGCAAGUCGGGCGAGGGGCGGACGGGUGUGUAAUGUAUGGGGACUGCCUGAUGGGGGGGGAUAAACACUGGAAAAGGUAGCUAAUAACGUAUAACAUAAUAAAACACAUAUGGGAUUAGCUUGUAGGUGAGGUAACGGCUCACCUAGGCGACGAUCCCUAGCUGGUCUGAGAGGAUGAUCAGCCACACUGGGACUGAGACACGGCCCAGACUCCUACGGAGGCAGCAGUGGGGAAUAUUGCACAAUGGGCGCAAGCCUGAUGCAGCCAUGCCGCGUGUAUGAAGAAGGCCUUCGGGUUGUAAAGUACUUUCAGUCGGGAGGCGUUACCGACAGAAGAAGCACCGGCUAACUCCGUGCCAGCAGCCGCGGUAAUUC